AUGCAAUCUACCUUUUACAGAGGGAUAGCCCAGAGAAAUUUGGAUUAAUACCUCAUAGUAUAUAGAGUUGGCAUCAACUUUAUAUUAAAGUCACAACGGUAAAAGAUGAGCAUGCGUCCCAUUAGCUAGUUGGUAAGGUAACGGCUUACCAAGGCUACGAUGGGUAGGGGUCCUGAGAGGGAGAUCCCCCACACUGGUACUGAGACACGGACCAGACUCCUACGGGAGGCAGCAGUGAGGAAUAUUGGACAAUGGGCGCAAGCCUGAUCCAGCCAUGCCGCGUGCAGGAUGACGGUCCUAUGGAUUGUAAACUGCUUUUGCACAGGAAGAAACAUCCCGACGUGUCGGGACUUGACGGUACUGUGAGAAUAAGGAUCGGCUAACUCCGUGCCAGCAGCCGCGGUAAUACGGAGGAUCCAAGCGUUAUCCGGAAUCAUUGGGUUUAAAGGGUCCGUAGGCGGUUUGGUAAGUCAGUGGUGAAAGCCCAUCGCUCAACGGUGGAACGGCCAUUGAUACUGCCAGACUUGAAUUAUUAGGAAGUAACUAGAAUAUGUAGUGUAGCGGUGAAAUGCUUAGAGAUUACAUGGAAUACCAAUUGCGAAGGCAGGUUACUACUAAUGGAUUGACGCUGAUGGACGAAAGCGUGGGUAGCGAACAGGAUUAGAUACCCUGGUAGUCCACGCCGUAAACGAUGGAUACUAGCUGUUGGGAGCAAUCUCAGUGGCUAAGCGAAAGUGAUAAGUACC
RNAcentral lists this ribosomal RNA (746 nucleotides) under uncultured bacterium. RNAcentral's name for it is "bacterial SSU rRNA". It matches the Rfam family "Bacterial small subunit ribosomal RNA", at positions 119 to 868 of the family's 1533-position model. The record is from RNAcentral.